GGAGGUGAUGGGUUCCCCCGAAGCUGGCUGUGAUGACUCACUCUGCUCAGUUUGCUCUGCAACAUGUGGGAUGACUAGUGGUGUAUGAGGUACUACCGCUAAUGGUCCUGUUGCUCCUGAUUUUCUCCCAUAAAGAGGAUUAUUGACAUCCUAAAUUUUGGAAGCUGCAGUUAUCUUAGAUGCCUCUACCGAUUUUUCC
This 199-nucleotide long non-coding RNA is filed under the name Solanum tuberosum (potato). Its description in RNAcentral is "long non-coding RNA (STUB_LNC006221)". Lineage: Eukaryota; Viridiplantae; Streptophyta; Magnoliopsida; Solanales; Solanaceae. The record is from RNAcentral.